This 1223-nucleotide long non-coding RNA is filed under the name Vitis vinifera (wine grape). RNAcentral's name for it is "long non-coding RNA (VVIN_LNC000873)". Lineage: Eukaryota; Viridiplantae; Streptophyta; Magnoliopsida; Vitales; Vitaceae. The record is from RNAcentral.
AACCUGAACCACUGGGAAACAUCAGGCCCUGUGACUGGACCGUAAAAGCCAAAUUUAUGCAGCAACUGAUGGCUUUGAGGCAGCAGACAGCCUGGAUCUCCUCUUUGCUAAGCUCUCACUGCGGCGUUCUCGCUGCUCCUUCAACCUGGUAGCAAGGAGCUUUUGGUACUCGGCUGCCUCUGACUUUGCCUUUGCAAUUCUCUUCUUCUUCUCUGCAAUCCUUGCACGCUUCCUCUGCAGAGUCAAUGGGGUCACCAGCCUCUGAAUCUUAGGGGCUUUACUGCAUUUCUUCCCUGAGGAUCACAGUGAUGAAACCAUAUCAAUCUUCUGUCUUUAGUCUUUUAAAAAGCAAAAUACUGAAAUAAUACUUUUAAGCAUCACAUGAAUUUCAGUCAUCUUAAACUAACUUGCAACUACUUAUUAUAUCAUCAUCCUUUACCCUAUUAUUCCCACACAUAAUAUCAAGUUCUGCAAAGGAUUAUGAUAAAAUUAAUUAUCUUCAGUCAUCUUUAAUUUAGACUUGUUAUUAAAUUAUCCUUAUAUGACUACAAAAAAAUGAAUAAAUAAAGAGUUGCCUUUUCUUUGUGUCGUCUGUGUGAUGUGGUAUAAGUUCAUGCAGUAAAAUCAUCAAUGAUUAUGGUAAAUGAUUUUCUCGACAAAAAUCUAGAAGCAAUUUAACAAACAUGAUAUAAUAUUUUAAGGAGAAAAUUUUAAAUAUAUAAAAUUAGCAUGCAUUGCAUGCUCACCAUAACAACAACAAAAAAUGAACCAAAAGAAAUAAUGCAAAUGAACUCUACGAUGAGGACUUACGAAAACUACUGCAGGUGUUUUCAUCAUACUAAAUGCCCUAAGCAUUAGAAAGCAAUGUAGGAAUUAAAUUAAAUUAUACAAUUUGUUCCCUUCACUUAUAAACUUCUAAAAGUAAAUAUUAAAAAGAUAAGAAAUCAGGAAUUGUACCAGAUUUUGUUGUGAAGGUUCGACGAUAUGUGUUGACAUACUUCCGAACAUCAUCCUCCUUAGAGAGGUUGAAGAGCUUUCGAAUCUUAGAAGCUCUCUUUGGACCCCUCAUCCUAGGUUUCUCUGUGUCGGUCAAUCCAGGAAGAUCGCUCUCACCCUUCUUCACUAUAACCAAGUUCAAAACAGAGAGGUCUUGGCUGACAAUGCACCCACGAACAGCCUUCCUCCUUCGCUCUCCAUUACGUCUUCCAUAUCCACGGAAGCAU